UAACUAGUCGGACAAAUCGACCUUUGUGCUGGAAGUGUUUGGAACACGUCUCACCCUCUCACCCUUAUAGUUAUAGAUCACCCUCCACCUGUGGCACGACACUACAGAAGCGGGAAGAGCACCGGAAAUUCGGUCUUUUUGUGUCUUAUGGUUGCAGAACACCCUCUACCCCUGAUACAAAAAUACAGAAGCGGGACAUUGGAACUUUUGGUAUUUCCUUCCUUGACCAGGUAACUGUUGCAGGCUAAUUACAUUGACAGAUAGUAAUGCAAUGUAUCAAUGACUAAUUAUCGAUAAGCUACUGGAAAAUUAUGAACGUAAACAGAUAAGCAAGGUAAAUAACCACUUUCUCAAUAACGAUGACAGUGAAACAAAAAAAAGGAACUUUGUGAUUUUUUUUAAUCAAUUCCUUAUCAGUGUCUAUUUGAUGUUUGAUUUAAUAUCUUCAAAUCGCUUGGAACAACGACCUAUUGCAAAAGCAAAAAUGAAGAUUAGAUUGGCGGGUCUAGGUAUAAAAGAAAGCGCGUAGAGAAGACCCAUCAGUCAAUCGUCAUGAAGGUACCAGUGGCAUUUCUUCUGCUUAUUGUUUUCUCACUCUUAGUGACCUCUUCUUCGGCAGGUGGAAGCGAGGAUAAUAGGUGCACGAAACUUUACGUCCCACUUCCAUUCACUGUGUGUAAGCAGCAAUGCGAGAAAACGGCUCUGGUCGGGGUUUGCAAGAAGGGGCUGCAUUGUUGUCGUUCAUAAUCUGGAUUUUAAAUUAACUUGAUGUAAGAUUAAUUAUUAACUCUACAGUUCCAAGUAUGUGGAAAUCAGGUAUCCAUUAUUGUUGAUGGUACAUACUACAAUAAUAAUAGAUUAGACAUUUAAA
Molecule: long non-coding RNA, 871 nt
Organism: Photinus pyralis (common eastern firefly)
Lineage: Eukaryota; Metazoa; Arthropoda; Insecta; Coleoptera; Lampyridae
Exons: 2
Source: RefSeq, a predicted model, not a curated record